This is a non-coding RNA of Solanum lycopersicum (tomato), 2117 nucleotides long. The record is from RefSeq and is a predicted model, not a curated record. Lineage: Eukaryota; Viridiplantae; Streptophyta; Magnoliopsida; Solanales; Solanaceae.
ACGCGUACUCUUCUUCGCCUUUUGGCCCCACACGUUUUCUUCUCUCUUCUUCCUUUGUUUGCAAAUUCAGAGGGUUUUUCCUUUAGUUUUUACCCUGUACUGCCACCUCACUCCACCUCUCCGUUUUCUUACAAUUCAAGAUUCUGUUUUUUUUUCUUGAUCCCAUAUAAAGAUUUCAUCUUUUUUCUUUAAUUGGGUGAUUUGGGUAAAAUCUUGUUUUGUUUUGUUGCUCAUGGCGUAUCAGAUGAGUCCAGGUGGGAGUAGUAGUGGUGGGGGGUCAGGUUCGCCGUUUACGGGUCGGGGCCCAUAUGGGGUUGGGGAUACGACGUAUACGAAGGUUUUUGUUGGUGGGUUGGCUUGGGAGACGAAGAGUGAAUCACUCCGCAGUUAUUUUGAACAGUUUGGGGAUAUUAUUGAAGCGGUUGUUAUUACUGAUAAACAUACUGGACGCUCUAAAGGCUAUGGCUUUGUUACGUUCCAUGAUCCGGAAGCUGCAUGGAGGGCUUGCACCAAUCCUAAUCCAAUCAUUGAUGGUAGAAGGGCUAAUUGCAACCUGGCUUCACUUGGGAGACCUCAAGGACUUUUACCUUAUGGACGUUUGAGAUCUUCAAUGCCUUAUCUGGGGAAUCCACAGGCCUCAAGGGGUAUGUAUAUGGGGAGCCCCUAUUACCAGCUACCAGUUCCUUACAGUUAUCAGCCUGGAUUCUCAUAUCCUCCAUAUAGGUUUCCUGCAUAUGGGCCAGACUAUGUUUACCCGCAGAUGUAUGGGAUACCAAGUACUGUUGGCACAAACACAUUACAGUUUGGCCAACUUGGUGCGCAGCCGGGCAGUCCUGCGUAUGCGUAUCGCGGUCAUUUGAUGACUGGUCCUCAUAUGGUGCAAUAUCAGAGACCUAAUGCUAGUGGAGCUAUGACAGACAAUGUUCCUUUGAUGCAACUACCUUAUCAUUCAGUGAAGGUGCUUGAUUACCCCAUUUCUUCAGGCAUCACUAUGCCGUCUCCUCGUCAGCCACAGACUGCAGUACAAGCUCGUCCACCACAAUUCACUCAGAGCAGUGGCUCUGACCAAAUGGCAGGUUGAAUGGUUUAACUGGAUGUAUCAUGUCGCAGGAUGAAUUCAAGGAAUUGGCUCGCUGUUAUUUGUGUGGUAAGACUUGGAACAUGACCUUGAACGUCAGAUGGGGAGGCAAACAGAGGUCUUUCAAAGUCAUGACCACCAAGAACUCGAGGGAAUCACUUGUAAAAUACCAAGAAGUUCAGAUAACCAUAUCAGAAAUGAGGUAGUGCCUGGACUGCUCUUUCGCAGUCUGUAUGGACAAUCCUGCCAGGACUUCAAGUCACUCAUUCGUUAAAGUAUAUAAUUGAACUGAUUGUGAAAGAUGGUUUCCGCAAUCAUAUUUAGUAGAAUCAACAUAUGAUUCUUUAAAUAGGCCUGGGUCAUCCUGGUCUGUAGGUGCACACUUCUCUUUAAUGUCCAUAAGACGUGUCUUUUAUAUGUUUUUCUUUUCUCUGUUUUGAUCUCCUUAGGGUUAGGGGAUCAAUAUCCAGGUCUUCAUCUCCAUCUAUGAACUGCUAUUUUCUUAGGGACCUUCUCCGUUUUGUCACUUUUUAUGUUCUUUUUUUCCCGAUAUAUGUCCAGUGUGUUUGUAUAGGAACCAAGUCUCUCACCUUAUCCUCUCCCUUAUUAGAACGAGAAAGUAAAGGAGGACGAAAGGAAGGAAAGCAGGGCUACUUUGAAGGACUGGACAAGACCUCGUAUGAUUAUAUGAGCCAUGUGCGCAAAACACAGGUUUUGGUUCGAGAAUAUGGAUGCUACUCAAUGUAGUUGCAUAAUACUCUUGUAGCCAACCUUCAGUUGGUACCCGUUUCUGUGCGUGAAUAAUAGCUAGUAAUAGUGUCUUGUCUUGGUCAGGUUCCUUGUGAACCAAUAUCAGUGGAUGCCUAUUCAUUCUAGAUAGUCAUUUUUCUAUGCCUGUUCUUCAUGUCCAGCAAAAUUGUCGUCAUUGUUGAAGGGAACAAUUACAUUCUCAAGUCUUAACGUCAAUAGCAGAAUUACUUGUUGGUAAGUGUAGCUGCAGUACCUAAUCAACUAAAGCUACCUUAGCCACUAUUGCUGA